RNAcentral lists this long non-coding RNA (4933 nucleotides) under Homo sapiens (human). RNAcentral describes it as "HSALNT0220706". The record is from RNAcentral. Lineage: Eukaryota; Metazoa; Chordata; Mammalia; Primates; Hominidae.
GUUAGAUCUUCAGAGAUAUAGAGAUGGCCCUUGCCUUUAGAGGGAAAGAUGCAGUUGUUUUUCUUCCAAGGAGACUAUCAAGAAGCCAGAGAACCAAAAACAGUGAUAACUGAAAAAGAACUCUAGGACUGAAGGAACUUAGGAUGGUUUUUAAAAUUUUGGAAGUCCCAGCCUAUGUUGUAUCAAAUAGAUUUAAAAGUUUUUUUUUUGUUGUUGUUUUUUAUUUUUUGAGACUGAGUCUCACUCUGUAGGCCAGGCUGGAGUGCAGUCUUGCUCUGUGGACCAGGUUCACUGCAACCUCUGCCUCUGGAGUCCAGGUGAUUCUCAUGUCUCAGCCUCCCAAGUAGCUGGCAUUACAGGUGCACGCUGCUAUACCCAGCUAAUUUUUGUAUUUUUUAUUAGAGACAGGGUUUCACCAGGUUGGCCACGCUGGUCUCGAACUCCUGACCUCAAGUGAUUCUUCUGCCUCAGCCUCCCAAAAUGCUGGGGUGCUCGGCCUAAACGUUUUUUUAAUUGACAAAAAAUGUUGUAUGUAUUUAUUGUGUACAACGUAGUGUUUUGAAAUACGUAUACAUUGUGAAUGGCUCAACUGAGCUAAUUGACAUAUGCAUUAUCUCACAUAAUUUUUUUUGUGGUGAGAACACAAAUACACUAACUAUAGUCCCCAUGUUGUACAACAGAUCUCUUGAACUUAUUUCUCCUGUCUCACUGAAAUUUUGUGCCCUUUGACCAACAUCUCCCCAGCUCCCUCACUGCCCCACCUCUCGCCACCCCCAGGCCCACCAUUCUACUCUUUGCGUCUAUGCAUUCAAUUUUUCUUUUUUCCCCCAAGACAGAGUUUCGCUCUGUCUCCCAGGCUGGAGUGCAGUGGUGUGAUCUUGGCUCACUGCAACCUCCACCUCCUGGGUUCAAGCAAUUCUCAUGCCUUAGCCUCUUGAGUAGCUGGGAUUACAGGUUUGUGCCACCACGCCUGGAUAAUUUCUGUAUUUUUAGUAGAGAUGGGGUUUCACCAUGCUGGCCAGGCUGGUCUCAAACUCCUGACCUCGUGAUCUGCCUGCCUUGGCCUCCUAAAGUGCUGAGAUUACAGACGUGAGCCACCGCGCCUGGCCUCAAUUUUUUUUUUUUUUUUUUUUUUUUUUACAUUCCAGAUAUAAAUGAGAUCAUGUAGUAUUUGCCUGGGCUAUUUCACUUAAUAUAAUGUCCUCUGGGCUCAUCCAUGUUGUCAUAUAUGACAGCAUUUCCUUCUAAGGCUGAACAGUAUUUAAUUGUGUAAAUGCUUUCUUUAUCCAUUUAUUCACUGACGGACACUUAGGUUGAUUCUGUAUCUUGGCUAUUGUGAAUAAUGCUGUAAUGAACAAACACAGGAGUGCAGAUUAUUUCCUUAACAUACUGAUUUUAUUUCCUUUGGAUAUAUACCCAGUAGUGGGGUUGCUGGAGCAUAUGGUAGUUCUAUUUCUAUUUUUCUGAGCACCUCCGUAAUGUUUUCUAUAAUGGCUGUUUUCUAUAAUGUACAAUGUAUGAUUUUAUAAUGUUUUCUAUAAUAGUAAUUUACAUUCCCACCAACAGUGUGCAAGGGUACCCUCUUCUCCACUUCCUUGCCAACACCUUAACUUUUGUGCAUUUUUUUUUUUUUUUUGAGACAUGGUUUCACUUUGUCACCCAGGCUGGAGUGCAGUGGUGCAAUCACAGCUCACUGCAGCCUCAAACUCCUGGGCUCAAGUGAUCUUCCUGCCUCAGCCUCCCAAGUCACUGGGUCUACAGGUGCACGCCACCAUACCUGGUUAAUUUUUAUUUUUUGUGGAGACUCACUCUGUUGCCCAGGAUGGUUUCGAACUCCUGGGUUCAAGCGAUCCUUCUGCUUAGGCCUCCGAAAGUGUUGGGAUUACAGGCAUCAGCCACUGUGCCCUGCCAUCUUUGAUAAUAGCCAUUCUGCCAUGUGUGAGGUAAUAUCUCAUUGAGGUUUUAACUUUCAUUUCCCUGAUGGUUAAUAAUGUCGAGCACUUUUUCAUAUACAUGUUGACCAUUUGUAUGUCUUUUUUUUGAGAAAAGUCUAUUCAGGUCCUUUGCCUAGCUUUUAAUUGGGUUCUUGGUUUUCUUGCUAUUGACUUGUAUAUUUUGGAUAUUAAACCCUUAUCAGAAUGUGUGGCUUGCAAAUAUUUUUUCCAGGUUGUCUCUUCACUGUUGUUUCCUUUGCUGUGAAGCUUUUUAGUUUGAUAUAAUAUUAUUUGUCUAUUUUUGCUUUUGUUGUCUGUGCUUUUGGGGAUCAUAUUUAAAAAACCAUUGCCCAGACCAAUGUCAUGGAGCUUUUAUCUUGUUUUCUUUUCUUUUAUUUUCUUUUUUUAAAUCUUGUUUUCUUCUAGCAAUUUUAUAUUUUCAGGUCUUAAGUCUUUAAUCCACUGUGAAUUGAUUUUUGUAUAUGGUAUGAGAUAAAGGUCUAAUUCCAUUCUUUCGCAUGUAGACAAUUUUCCCAACACUAUUUAUCGAAGAGACUGUCCUUUCCUCAUGUGUGUUCUUGAUACCAUUGUCAAAAAUCAAUUUUCUGUAAAUACACAGACUUCUGGGCACUUUAUUCUGUUCCAUUGUCUAUGUGUCUUCUUUGUUGUCAGUACUGUACUGUUUUGAUUACUAUAACUUCUUAGUAUAUUUUGAAGUCAGGUAGUGUGAUGCCUCCAGUUUUGUUUUUUGCUCAAGGUUGCUUUGGCUAUUUAGGGUCUUUUGUGGUUCUAUUCAAAUUUCAGGAUAUUUUCUAUUUCUGUGAAAAAAGUCAUUGAAAUUUUGAUAUGGGUUGCAUUAAGUUUGUAGAUCACUUUGGGUAGUAUGGACAUUUGAACAACAUUAAUUCUUCUAAUUCAUGAACAUGGUUUAUCUUUCCAUUUAUUGGCAUCUUCUUCAAUUUAUGUUUUAUAGUUUUUAGUGUAUCAGUUUUUCACCUCUUUGGUUUAAUUUAUUCCUAAGUAUUUAAUUUUUUUAACUUUUCUGAAUGGGAUUGUUUUCUUGAUUUUUUUUCAGAUAGUUCACUGUUAGUGUAUAGAAAUGCUAUGAAUUUUUGUAUGUUGAAUUUUGUAUCCUGCAACUUAACUGAAUUCAUUUGUUAGUUCUAACUUUUUUGGUAGAAUCAGUAAGGUUUUCUGUAUUAUAACAUUAUCUUAUCUGCAAACAGGGACAGUUAAACUUCUUCCAGUUUGGCUGUCUUUUCUUUCUCUUGCAUAAUUGCUCCGGCUAGGAUUACCAUGUUGAACAGAAGUGGCUAGAGUGGGCAUCCUUGUCUUGUUUCUGAUCUUAGAGGAAAAGCUUCCAACUUUUCACCAGUGAGUUAGGAUGUUAGCUAUGGGUUUGUCAUAGAUGCUUCUUUAUUGUGUUAAGGUACAUUCCUUCUAUACCAAAUUUAAUAAGAUCAAAUACAUUAAAAUAUGCUCAAGUUCCACAUUAAACAGCAAUUUAGUUUUGCUAUAACAAUUUUGUAUGACUUUUGUAAUUGUAUUUGAAAUUAAUUUCAUUUUGCAUUUUUUUUCUUUUGGCACUGUAAUAUUUUUUCAGAUUGCAAACAUUUUCACAAGCUUUGAAAGACUUGGAAAUCUUGCACAUGGUGCUCACCAAGCCCAAAGACAAAAUGGCUCAGAGACCCUGGGGACCCAGCGUAGUGGAACACUGACCCUCAAGAGUGAGAAAGGAGACCCUGGCAGAAGACAGCAGAGGUACCACAUGACAGUUUGGGGAAGGGAUUGAAGGUCUGCGUCAAAGAGAACAGAAAACCUCUCCAGGUUGUCUUUUGGCAAUAACUAAAGAGAGAAAGAUAACAAACAUAGGAAAGAUAUCUCUACUCCCAUAUACAUCCUCCAGUAUAGGCACACGUAAGAAAGCCUAGGGCUGAGGGCACUCACAGGGAAACACCUCCAAAUGAUGAGGACCUUGUGAGCUUCCUAAGCCAGGUGACCACAAAGACGCGUGGACAAUCCACUGACCCAGCAAGCAGGGAGUGUCACUUGUCCUGUGAAGAACACCAGAAUACAGUUGGCCUUUCUAAUCUGCAUGCAGGUCCCAUAUCCAUAUUCAAGCAACCAUGGAUCAAAAAUAUUGGGGGGAAAAAAAACUAAUGAUAAAUUAACAAGGGGCCAGGCGCAGUCAUCUAUAAUCCCAGCACUUUAGGAGGCCAAGGUGGGAGGAUAGGUUGAGCCCAUAAGUUUAAGAUCAGCCUGGCAAAUGUGGAGAUUCCAACUCUACAAAAAAUAAAAAAAAUUAGCUAGGCAUAGGGGUGCACUCUUAUGCUCCCAGCUACUCUAAAGGCUGAGGCAGGAGGAUUGUUUGAACCAAGGAAGUUGAGGCUGCAGUGAGCCAUGUAUUUGCCACUGUACUCCAGCUUUGGCAAUAAUGUACCACCCUGUCUCAAACAACAACAACAAAAAACCAUUACAGGCUGGGCAUGGUGGCUCAUGCCUGUAAUCCCAGAACUCUGGGAGGUCAAGGCAGGAGGAUCACUUGAGCCCAGGAGUUUGAGGUUACACUGAGCUAGGAUCAUACCACUGCACUUCAGCCUGGGUGACAGAGCAAGACCCUGUUUUCACAACAAAACAAUGCAAUACUGAAAAUAUCACAGACGAAAAAACCAAUACAGCAUAAUAACGAUUUACAUAGGAUUUACAUUGUAUUCAGUAUUAUGAGUAGAGAUGAUUGAAAGUAUGUGGGGGGAUGUGUAGAUUGUAUGCAAAUAUCGUGCCCUUUUAUAUAAAGGCCAUGAGCAUCCAGAGAUUUUGCUAUCCUUAGGGGAUCGUGAAACCAGUCCCCAACAGACACGGAGAAAUGACAUUACUAAACACAGCAACUUUAUGGGAUUGUAUCCAGAUUACAUAAGCCCACACCAGAGCCAAAGAAGAUGGAGGAGGAAUGGGAUUCAUUCUUCCAGACAAUACGUUGACAGAAAAAAAUUUGAACUUCU